UACGUAGGUGGCGAGCGUUGUCCGGAAUUACUGGGUGUAAAGGGCGUGUAGGCGGGAUUGCAAGUCAGAUGUGAAAUUCUUGAGCUUAACUCAAGAGCUGCAUCUGAAACUGUGAUUCUUGAGUACUGGAGAGGAUAGUGGAAUUCCUAGUGUAGCGGUGAAAUGCGUAGAUAUUAGGAGGAACACCAGUGGCGAAGGCGGCUAUCUGGACAGUAACUGACGCUGAGGCGCGAAAGCGUGGGGAGCAAACAGGAUUAGAUACCCUGGUAGUCCACGCUGUAAACGAUGAAUACUAGGUGUAGGAGGUAUCGACCCCUUCUGUGCCGCAGUUAACACAAUAAGUAUUCCACCUGGGGAGUACGGCCGCAAGGUUGAA
RNAcentral lists this ribosomal RNA (376 nucleotides) under uncultured bacterium. RNAcentral's name for it is "bacterial SSU rRNA". It matches the Rfam family "Bacterial small subunit ribosomal RNA", at positions 524 to 898 of the family's 1533-position model. The record is from RNAcentral.